UUAAUUCAUUUCUAUAUUUUUAUUAAACGUACAUCUUUAUAUCGAUUUGCGUACAACGGCUUUAAAGUGCAUAGAGUGCGCAUAGCUCUGCCAGUGAAAAACGCUAUAAGAAUAUGCGAAAAUUUUAUUUUGCUUAUAACUUUCUAUUGCAACAGUAGAAAUAUACAAGAAAAUGAAAAUUCUGGUUAUAGUCUAUGGUUCGUAUUUUAUUAGAAUGCGCUUACAGCGAUGUUAGCGCGCUAACAUGCUAUAAUUUACGUUACGUAUACUAUAGAAUUUCAGAGAUACAAGCGCGCUUUUAUCGAUAAAAGCGCGUUCUAAAUACGGACCAAUGUUUACACAAAGAACAAGGCAUUUUCAAGACGCAAGUGUUGACAAUUUAGUCGUUGAAAUGCAAACGAUCGAUCAUGAGAUCUCCAAUUAUUUCAGAAUAACAUUGGAAUUAUUUGAAGAAUUGUUGACAUCAAUUGAAUUACAAUGGAGAGUACUAGUGAACUCAUUUCUAGUAAAAAAUCUGUUUCGUCGUUCCGAUUCCGUAUAUGGGAUGGCACUAUCAGUAUUGCAGCCAAUACGGUGGCAAGAUUCUAAUCCUGCUAGCAAUCCAGCAAGAAAAUAAGCAUCAUGUACUGCAGGCUAUAGGCCUGUUCUACAAUAGAAUCGUAAGUAGUAAGCCGUAAGAAAUUAACCAAUCAUAGUCGAUUAUUCUUCUUACACUUAAUUGUGAUUGGCCAAUUUCUUACAGCUAACGGCUUGCCACCCUAUUGUAGAACAGGCAUUAAUGCGAGGUCUACAAAUCGUAGAGUGAAAUCACACGGUGCAGAAAACUACUACGGAAUAGAGAAUGCAUCAUUGAAACAACCAAUUAGCACUAUUCGGAAUAACGCAGAAUAAUGCUGAUUGAUUGCUUCUAUGACGCAUUCGUUUUCAGCACCAUGUGAUUUCACCUUAACGAUCGUAGGAUCUUGAGUCGUAGAAAAUUGACCAAUCAUAAUCGAUUAUUCUUCUCAUAUUCGACUGAAUGGUUAAUUUUUUACGACUUAAGACUACGACUUCUGUUAUAGACCCCGCGUAAAACUUUCCACAAAAUUUCUUCAAGCUUUUGUUGUAUUCGUUAACUGAUGUUUCAUCGGUGGAUAUUCGAUCAAUAGUUCAAUGCCGAUUAAAAUAUUUACAUUUUGUUUUAUAUCAAAAUUAAAACUAAUUCAACAUGAAAAUAUAUAUUACAAUAUUAUUACAAUAACUUUAAUAAGUAUUACACAACUGCAACGAGUCCGAUGUAAUGUAUCGAUAAUAUCUCGACAAUCGCCAAAUAAUAAACUAGAAACAAUAGUA
RNAcentral lists this unclassified non-coding RNA (1332 nucleotides) under Acromyrmex echinatior (Panamanian leafcutter ant). RNAcentral describes it as "uncharacterized LOC105143267, transcript variant X1". The record is from RNAcentral. Lineage: Eukaryota; Metazoa; Arthropoda; Insecta; Hymenoptera; Formicidae.